RNAcentral lists this ribosomal RNA (426 nucleotides) under Chloroflexota bacterium. RNAcentral's name for it is "Chloroflexi bacterium partial 16S ribosomal RNA". It matches the Rfam family "Bacterial small subunit ribosomal RNA", at positions 355 to 776 of the family's 1533-position model. Lineage: Bacteria; Bacillati; Chloroflexota. The record is from RNAcentral.
UGGGGAAUAUUGCACAAUGGGCGCAAGCCUGAUGCAGCCAUGCCGCGUGUAUGAAGAAGGCCUUCGGGUUGUAAAGUACUUUCAGUCGGGAGGAAGGUGGUAAGGUUAAUAACCUUAUCAAUUGACGUUACCGACAGAAGAAGCACCGGCUAACUCCGUGCCAGCCGCGGUAAUACGGAGGGUGCAAGCGUUAAUCGGAAUUACUGGGCGUAAAGCGCACGCAGGCGGUUGAUUGAGUCAGAUGUGAAAUCCCCGGGCUUAACCCGGGAAUUGCAUCUGAUACUGGUCAGCUAGAGUCUUGUAGAGGGGGGUAGAAUUCCAUGUGUAGCGGUGAAAUGCGUAGAGAUGUGGAGGAAUACCGGUGGCGAAGGCGGCCCCCUGGACAAAGACUGACGCUCAGGUGCGAAAGCGUGGGGAGCAAACAGG